RNAcentral lists this transfer RNA (85 nucleotides) under Felis catus (domestic cat). It matches the Rfam family "tRNA". Rfam says of the family: Transfer RNA (tRNA) molecules are approximately 80 nucleotides in length. Their secondary structure includes four short double-helical elements and three loops (D, anti-codon, and T loops). Further hydrogen bonds mediate the characteristic L-shaped molecular structure. tRNAs have two regions of fundamental functional importance: the anti-codon, which is responsible for specific mRNA codon recognition, and the 3' end, to which the tRNAs corresponding amino acid is attached (by aminoacyl-tRNA synthetases). tRNAs cope with the degeneracy of the genetic code in two manners: having more than one tRNA (with a specific anti-codon) for a particular amino acid; and 'wobble' base-pairing, i.e. permitting non-standard base-pairing at the 3rd anti-codon position. RNAcentral also lists the same sequence under 1 other name. The record is from Rfam by way of RNAcentral. Lineage: Eukaryota; Metazoa; Chordata; Mammalia; Carnivora; Felidae.
GCCUGGGUGGCUCAGUCAGUUGAGCGCCCGACUUCAACUCAGGUCAUGAUCUCACGGCUCAUGGGUUCGAGCCCCACGUCAGGCU